RNAcentral lists this unclassified non-coding RNA (241 nucleotides) under Hevea brasiliensis (rubber tree). Lineage: Eukaryota; Viridiplantae; Streptophyta; Magnoliopsida; Malpighiales; Euphorbiaceae. The record is from RNAcentral.
GGUGGGUUUGAGUAACGGCAUGCCAGGUCUGCAAUUUCCUUGGAAUGAUAAUUGAUCUUAGAAUCUGUGAACUUGAGCCCAUGGGCAGUGCUCACGACAACGGUGCGAUCGUUGGUCUUGAUCACCCCCUGAUUCCGCAGCUUAAAAAGUGCAGCAAGGGCAACACCUGUAUGCGGGCAGGCAAACAUGCCAGUCUGAUCCGACAGCGCCAUGGCAUCCAUCAGCUCCUCCUCAGUAGCCU